Molecule: long non-coding RNA, 778 nt
Organism: Salvia miltiorrhiza (redroot sage)
Lineage: Eukaryota; Viridiplantae; Streptophyta; Magnoliopsida; Lamiales; Lamiaceae
Exons: 2
Source: RefSeq, a predicted model, not a curated record
UUAGGGCCCGUUUGAUAACCAAGUUUUGGCUGGUUUGUUAAAUUAACCCGCCUCUACCGGGUGUUUGCUAGUCACAUUUAAUUACCAACGGGGCCCGUUGCAAACCAAGGCCCGCUGGUAUUCAAACGUUAAUGCUCGAUAUUUCCGAUGGAUUCCUCUUGUGCCUCGGCGGCAUAUGCUUUUGCGACGCCGGCUUUCUCGAGCGGGAUUUUCCGGCUGUCGGCUUAGCCACUUUCUUGUGCUUCUUGCUGAUGUGAGCGAGGCGGAGGCUGAGGCAGUUGGUGAGGAUGACUCUGCUUCAUCAGGUCUUGCCCCGAGCGGACGCCUCCAGCAACCGGUCGGCGACGUCGCGUGCGGCGUGGCCGGAAUCGGGGCUGCGGAGGUGGCGGAGGGCGUCAAUGAGCUUCGACGAAUAGAUGUGUUGCUCCUCUUGGGCGUCGACGUGAUUGAAAAAUCAAAGGAAAUCGACUUUCCAAUACAUCAAUCUCAAAUUUCACUCACACAAAGCCUUCACUGCUGCCAAGUGCCAACAAAGUAGAAGUAAACACACACAAACACACACCCCUCUCUCUCACACACACAUCAAAUCUUUCAAUUUCAAUGGUUUUCCUCCCUCUCUUUCUCUCUCUCUCUCUCUCUCUCUCUCUCCCUCUAGUUCAUUGUUGUUCGAGACUGCAGCUCGUAGCAGUCUGUGUUAUCCAAACACUUAUUUUUGGAGGAUUUGUGUAUGGAUAGCGAAAUUUUGAUCCGUCGAAGAAGCAAGUUAUGGUAUACCUAA